This 712-nucleotide ribosomal RNA is filed under the name Mesocyclops leuckarti. RNAcentral's name for it is "SSU rRNA". It matches the Rfam family "Eukaryotic small subunit ribosomal RNA", at positions 578 to 1286 of the family's 1831-position model. The record is from RNAcentral. Lineage: Eukaryota; Metazoa; Arthropoda; Copepoda; Cyclopoida; Cyclopidae.
GGUAAUUCCAGCUCCAAUAGUGUAUAUUAAAGUUGUUGUGGUUAAAAAGCUCGUAGUUGGAUCUCGGCAGGCAGGGGGCGGUCCGUUAUUUGACGCGACUGCCCCGUUUGCCUGUGUUUCUUUGGCGGAACUCGCAGGGUGCUCUUCGCCGAGUGUCCUGUCGGGGCCGCCGGGUUUACUUUGAAAAAAUUAGAGUGCUCCAAGCAGGCUCGACACGCCUGAAUAUCCGUGCAUGGAAUAAUGGAAUAGGACGUCGUUCCUAUUUUGUUGGCUUUAGGGAAUCGACGUAAUGAUUAAUAGGGACAGCCGGGGGCAUUAGUAUUCAGACGACAGAGGUGAAAUUCUUGGACCGUCUGGCGACUCACCGCUGCGAAAGCGUUUGCCAAGUAUGUUUUCAUUAAUCAAGAACGAAAGUUAGAGGUUCGAAGGCGAUCAGAUACCGCCCUAGUUCUAACCAUAAACGAUGCCAGCUAGCGAUCUGCGGGCGUUUUUAUUGUAGGCCCCGCAGGAAGCUUCCGGGAAACCAAAGCUUUUGGGUUCCAGGGAAAGUAUGAUUGCAAAAUUGAAAUUUAAAGAAAUUGACGGAACGGCACCACCAGGCGUGGAACUUGCGGCUUAAUUUGACUCAACACUGGAAAUCUCACCAGGCCCGGACACCGGAAGGAUUGACAGAUUGAGAGCUCUUUCUCGAUUCGGUGGGUGGUGGUGCAUG